GACGAACGCUGGCGGCGUGCUUAACACAUGCAAGUCGAACGGAAAGGCCCUUCGGGGUACUCGAGUGGCGAACGGGUGAGUAACACGGGGGUGAUCUGCCCUGCACUUUGGGAUAAGCCUGGGAAACUGGGUCUAAUACCGCAUAGGACCGCGCGCUUCAUGGCGUGUGGUGGAAAGCGUUUGCGGUGUGGGAUGGGCCCGCGGCCAAUCAGCUUGUUUGUGGGGUAAUGGCGUACCAAGGCGACGACGGGUAGCCGACCCGAGAGGGUGGACGGCGACCAUGGGACUGAGAGACGGCGCAGACUCCUACGGGAGGCAGCAGUGGGGAAUAUUGCACAAUGGGCGCAAGCCUGAUGAAGCGACGCCGCGUGAGGGAUGACGGCCUUCGGGUUGUAAACAUCUUUCACCAGGGACGAAGCGCAAGUGACGGUACCUGGAGAAGAAGCACCGGCCAACUACGUG
This 462-nucleotide ribosomal RNA is filed under the name uncultured bacterium. RNAcentral's name for it is "partial 16S ribosomal RNA". It matches the Rfam family "Bacterial small subunit ribosomal RNA", at positions 28 to 507 of the family's 1533-position model. The record is from RNAcentral.